Molecule: small nucleolar RNA, 136 nt
Filed under: Apaloderma vittatum (bar-tailed trogon)
Lineage: Eukaryota; Metazoa; Chordata; Aves; Trogoniformes; Trogonidae
Description: Small nucleolar RNA SNORA31
Rfam family: Small nucleolar RNA SNORA31
About the family: ACA31 (SNORA31) belongs to the H/ACA class of snoRNAs which are thought to guide the sites of modification of uridines to pseudouridines. ACA31 is predicted to guide the pseudouridylation of U3713 in 28S rRNA and U218 in 18S rRNA.
Source: Rfam by way of RNAcentral
AUGCAUCUGUUUGACAGACCUGGAGCACACGGCAGUUGCUUCUUUGGUUCUUUCUGAGAUGCUACAGUAAGGGGUUCCUUGCGCUUUCUACCUGUCUGAUCUUGUGGCAGCCUAGAUUGAAUAAAGGAACACAAAA